AACACGCAGUAACAAAGCAACAAAUUGAAACUAAAUACUUUCAGUGCGAGGCCAUGGAAAUGGAGAUCGAGCCGCAGGAUGAGAUACAGAUUCGGUUCCAGCAGCAUCGGACUGCGGGUCCAGGAGCUCUAGCUUAGAGAUAUGGUUGUUGUCGAGCGCUGUUCGUUCCAUUUAUUUAACCAGAAAUUGUUGCAAUCAGUGCGGAGUAGCUUUUAAUUGCCUCCCAGGAGAAAGGGAGGAGUACUCUUUGGUGGGCAGGGGAGCUGACCAGCUUUAGGAUAGCGAUAAAGCGAUGUCCAAAUGCCAAAGAUUCCAGCCGAAGACGUUCCAUCGGAGACAAGAAGACGACUUUGGUCUCAUGCGGAAAUCGCCAACUUGCAGGCAACUGGUGGACGUAUCGCCAGCAUCCCCAGAUCUCCUCUUUUUCCAUGGAGACAGAGAGGAAAUGCCUUAAAUCAAUUAGUUGAGCACUAAUUGCCCCAAUACCUUGUGGCAUAGUUCGCCAUUUGCUCAGCACCUGUUCGAAGUCCCUGCCCGCUCUUUUCGCCCCUCCUUAAUCUCAGCAGAGGAAUUCCUGCGGCCUUCUCAUUGUUUUCGUGCUACACAGAGAGAAAUGUAAAGUAAGAAACCAUCAGAAGUAAUGUAAACAGGUUCGGGAUUCGUGCCAUAUCUAUAUAUGUUAUUUUAAUGGAAUGAUAAAGUAUUCUAAGUUAUAACCCCCAUAUGUUUCUCUCAGUGCAUAGUUAUAUUCAUGUCCCGCUGUCUCUUGUUGUUGUUAUCUUUCUCACAAUCAAGGUGCACGGAGUAGAUGCCGCGCCAAGUUCAGGCUUCUUCGCGAACACAACAAGUGCAACAAAAAACUGUCUCAAGUGCUGCGGCAAAAAGGAAGUCGCGAGAUGGAUCGUAUUUAUAUAUACUGCAAACAUUUCGAUAUGCCUGGGUUUUGGUCAAGCCAAGAUCUUUUGUUGCUGCAGAUAUGUGAAACUUCCUGUAGUCAAGUGGUUGUGAGAUCAGUUGAGCUGAGCUGAGCUGAGAGGGUGUGUCUCCGGCGUAAGAGUUCCUUUCAUCUUCGGAUAAUUGGUGCUGCACCACGUCUCAUCGUCAAUUAUCUGGCGUCACCAAAGCCGCAACGAAAUCGAAAUGCCCGAGGGCAUCCUCUUCAUUUUCGGCAAGGGCAUCCUUAAAAACCAACAACAGGAACAACUCGGCCAACAAAAACAACGAGGACAGGCAAUGUGGAAAAAGAACAACAAACAAUAAGCCGAGGCAAAGUUAAACAAAGUUGGCGCACCAACUCACUCUCUUUUUCGGAUCUCGGAUCGGAUCGGAUCGACUGGGAUCGGGUGGGUUUGGAUGGGAUCGGAAUCGGGAUCGGGCACAAGGGUCAGGCUAAAGGGCCCAGGCAAACAAAGGAGUGCGUUCAUGUCGAUGAAGACGGCCACAAAAGCGCCCCGAUGAGAUGAUCGCUCCAGUCGGUGAUUCUCCUCCUUGGACUUCCUUGCCCCGACGCUCAGCGCGAACUUACACUGUGAAAAAAACGAUAUAAUAACGAAUGCAGGGUCUCGACCUGAAUGUGCUCGCAUCCGUUGACUGGGAAUCGUAGUGGGCACCCAGGCGCACCACCACCCCCCGCCACACUCCGCUACGGUCCUCACCUGACCUUGCUCCUUUGUUCGAGCCACAUAUUCAUGUACACAUGUGUGUUUGUGCAAACCUGACGCCCAUUCGCGCGCACCUUUGGAAUUCGGUGGCCGCGAACGCUGCAUAAUGGAAGCCAAAUGAUGGGAAACUUUUUUGUGGCCCCGAUCCGACAGACAGGCAACUGGGCGGGGAGGUCCAUUGGGUACGGAGGGGCGCAGAAAAACAAAACUAAUUAGGCAUAAAGUGCGUGUAAUUAUAAAAUAAAUUAAAGUCGAGCACUGACACUCCACAUUGCCCGGUGGAUCGAUUGACCUUUUUGUAACUCAAUUACGAUCUUCAGAUCGCCUUUGCCAACUUGACCACCCAGA
Molecule: long non-coding RNA, 2009 nt
Organism: Drosophila mauritiana
Lineage: Eukaryota; Metazoa; Arthropoda; Insecta; Diptera; Drosophilidae
Exons: 3
Source: RefSeq, a predicted model, not a curated record